Molecule: ribosomal RNA, 447 nt
Filed under: uncultured bacterium
Lineage: Bacteria
Description: bacterial SSU rRNA
Rfam family: Bacterial small subunit ribosomal RNA
Source: RNAcentral
AACGAACGCUGGCGGCAGGCCUAACACAUGCAAGUCGAACGCCCUAGCAAUAGGGAGUGGCGCACGGGUGCGUAACGCGUGGGAAUAUGCCCUUCACUGCGGAAUAACGUUUGGAAACGAACGCUAAUACCGCAUAAUGACUCCGGUCCAAAGAUUUAUCGGUGAAGGAUUAGCCCGCGUUAGAUUAGCUAGUUGGUGAGGUAAUGGCUCACCAAGGCGACGAUCUAUAGCUGGUCUGAGAGGAUGAUCAGCCACACUGGGACUGAGACACGGCCCAGACUCCUACGGGAGGCAGCAGUGAGGAAUAUUGGACAAUGGGCGCAAGCCUGAUCCAGCCAUGCCGCGUGAGUGAAGAAGGCCUUCGGGUUGUAAAGCUCUUUCAGAUGUGAAGAUAAUGACGGUAGCAUCAGAAGAAGCCCGGCUAAUCGUGCCAGCAGCCGCGGUAAU